UACGGAGGGUGCAAGCGUUAAUCGGAAUUACUGGGCGUAAAGCGCACGCAGGCGGUCUGUCAAGUCAGAUGUGAAAUCCCCGGGCUCAACCUGGGAACUGCAUUUGAAACUGUCAGACUAGAGUCUUGUAGAGGGGGGUAGAAUUCCAGGUGUAGCGGUGAAAUGCGUAGAGAUCUGGAGGAAUACCGGUGGCGAAGGCGGCCCCCUGGACAAAGACUGACGCUCAGGUGCGAAAGCGUGGGGAGCAAACAGG
Molecule: ribosomal RNA, 253 nt
Filed under: uncultured bacterium
Lineage: Bacteria
Description: partial 16S ribosomal RNA
Rfam family: Bacterial small subunit ribosomal RNA
Source: RNAcentral